GUGAGGAAUAUUGCGCAAUGGACGAAAGUCUGACGCAGCCAUGCCGCGUGAAGGAUUGACGGCCCUAUGGGUUGUAAACUUCUUUUGUAUAGGAAUAAACCCUCGUUCGUGAACGAGGCUGAAGGUACUAUAAGAAUAAGCACCGGCUAACUCCGUGCCAGCAGCCGCGGUAAUACGGAGGGUGCAAGCGUUAUCCGGAUUUAUUGGGUUUAAAGGGUCCGUAGGCGGAUCGUUAAGUCAGUGGUGAAAUCCUACCGCUCAACGGUAGAACUGCCAUUGAUACUGGCGAUCUUGAGUAUGUAUGAAGUUGGCGGAAUGUGUGGUGUAGCGGUGAAAUGCUUAGAUAUCACACAGAACACCGAUUGCGAAGGCAGCUGACUAAUACACAACUGACACUGAGGGACGAAAGUGUGGGGAUCAAACAGGAUUAGAUACCCCGGUAGUCC
RNAcentral lists this ribosomal RNA (446 nucleotides) under uncultured bacterium. RNAcentral describes it as "partial 16S ribosomal RNA". It matches the Rfam family "Bacterial small subunit ribosomal RNA", at positions 354 to 796 of the family's 1533-position model. The record is from RNAcentral.